ACCUGGGUAGCUCAGUCAGUUGAGCAUCUGACUUCAGCUCAGGUCAUGGGUUCAAGCCCCAUGCCGGGCU
RNAcentral lists this transfer RNA (70 nucleotides) under Felis catus (domestic cat). It matches the Rfam family "tRNA". Rfam says of the family: Transfer RNA (tRNA) molecules are approximately 80 nucleotides in length. Their secondary structure includes four short double-helical elements and three loops (D, anti-codon, and T loops). Lineage: Eukaryota; Metazoa; Chordata; Mammalia; Carnivora; Felidae. The record is from Rfam by way of RNAcentral.